Molecule: ribosomal RNA, 370 nt
Filed under: uncultured bacterium
Lineage: Bacteria
Description: bacterial SSU rRNA
Rfam family: Bacterial small subunit ribosomal RNA
Source: RNAcentral
ACGUAGGGUGCAAGCGUUAAUCGGAAUUACUGGGCGUAAAGCGUGCGCAGGCGGUUGAGUAAGUUAGAUGUGAAAUCCCCGGGCUCAACCUGGGAACUGCAUUUAAAACUGCUCGGCUAGAGUGUGUCAGAGGGGGGUAGAAUUCCACGUGUAGCAGUGAAAUGCGUAGAGAUGCGGAGGAAUACCAAUGGCGGAGGCAACCCCUGGGAUAACACUGACGCUCAUGUACGAAAGCGUGGGGAGCAAACAGGAUUAGAUACCCUGGUAGUCCACGCCCUAAACGAUGUCUACUAGUUGUUGGGGUCUUCGGACCUUAGUAACGCAGCUAACGCGUGAAGUAGACCGCCUGGGGAGUACGGUCGCAAGAUUA